UACGGGAGUGGCAAGCGUUAUCCGGAAUUAUUGGGCGUAAAGCGUCCGCAGGCGGUCUUGUAAGUCUGUUGUUAAAGCGUGGAGCUUAACUCCAUUUCAGCAAUGGAAACUGUAAGACUAGAGUGUGGUAGGGGCAGAGGGAAUUCCCGGUGUAGCGGUGAAAUGCGUAGAUAUCGGGAAGAACACCAGUGGCGAAGGCGCUCUGCUGGGCCAUAACUGACGCUCAUGGACGAAAGCCAGGGGAGCGAAAGGGAUUAGAUACCCCUGUAGUCCUGGCCGUAAACGAUGAACACUAGGUGUCGGGGGAAUCGACCCCCUCGGUGUCGUAGCCAACGCGUUAAGUGUUCCGCCUGGGGAGUACGCACGCAAGUGUGAAACUCAAAGGAAUUGACGGGGGCCCGCACAAGCGGUGGAGUAUGUGGUUUAAUUCGAUGCAACGCGAAGAACCUUACCAGGGUUUGACAUCCUGCGAAUCUUUUGGAAACGAAAGAGUGCCUUCGGGAACGCAGUGACAGGUGGUGCAUGGCUGUCGUCAGCUCGUGUCGUGAGAUGUUGGGUUAAGUCCCGCAACGAGCGCAACCCACGUCGUUAGUUGCCAGCAUUGAGUUGGGCACUCUAGCGAGACCGCCGGUGAUAAACCGGAGGAAGGUGUGGAUGACGUCAAGUCAUCAUGCCCCUUACAUCCUGGGCUACACACGUACUACAAUGCUACGGACAAAGGGCAGCAAACUCGCGAGAGCUAGCAAAUCCCAUAAACCGUGGCUCAGUUCAGAUCGUAGGCUGCAACUCGCCUACGUGAAGGAGGAAUCGCUAGUAAUCGCAGGUCAGCAUACUGCGGUGAAUACGUUCCCGGGCCU
RNAcentral lists this ribosomal RNA (857 nucleotides) under uncultured bacterium. Its description in RNAcentral is "SSU rRNA". It matches the Rfam family "Bacterial small subunit ribosomal RNA", at positions 524 to 1381 of the family's 1533-position model. The record is from RNAcentral.